RNAcentral lists this ribosomal RNA (301 nucleotides) under uncultured bacterium. RNAcentral describes it as "partial 16S ribosomal RNA". It matches the Rfam family "Bacterial small subunit ribosomal RNA", at positions 509 to 807 of the family's 1533-position model. The record is from RNAcentral.
CAGUCGCCGCGGGAAUACGGAGGGUGCAAGCGUUACUCGGAAUCACUGGGCGUAAAGGACGCGUAGGCGGAUUAUCAAGUCUCUUGUGAAAUCUAACGGCUCAACCGUUAAACUGCUUGGGAAACUGAUAAUCUAGAGUAAGGGAGAGGCAGAUGGAAUUCUUGGUGUAGGGGUAAAAUCCGUAGAUAUCAAGAAGAAUACCUAUUGCGAAGGCGAUCUGCUGGAACUUAACUGACGCUAAUGCGUGAAGGCGUGGGGAGCAAACAGGACUAGAGACCCCCGUAGUCCCUGUCUCUUAUAC